AGAGUUUGAUCCUGGCUCAGAUUGAACGCUGGCGGUAUGCUUAACACAUGCAAGUCGAACGGUAGCACGGUUCGUAGCAAUACGAAUGGGUGACGAGUGGCGGACGGGUGAGUAACGCGUAGGAAUCUGCCUUGAAGAGGGGGAUAACCCGAGGAAACUCGGGCUAAUACCGCAUAUGCUCGUGAGAGUAAAGCUGGCCCCGCACUUGUUGCGGGGCUGGCGCUUUAAGAUGAGCCUGCGUCUGAUUAGCUAGUUGGUAGGGUAAAGGCCUACCAAGGCGAUGAUCGGUAGCUGGUCUGAGAGGAUGACCAGCCACACUGGAACUGAGACACGGUCCAGACUCCUACGGGAGGCAGCAGUGGGGAAUAUUGGACAAUGGGGGGAACCCUGAUCCAGCAAUACCGCGUGUGUGAAGAAGGCCUUCGGGUUGUAAAGCACUUUAGGGUGGGAAGAAGGGUUGGAGUUUAAGAGAUUUCAAUUUUGACGGUACCACCAGAAUAAGCACCGGCUAACUCUGUGCCAGCAGCCGCGGUAAUACAGAGGGUGCGAGCGUUAAUCGGAAUAACUGGGCGUAAAGGGCGCGUAGGCGGUUAUGUAAGUCGGAUGUGAAAUCCCUGGGCUUAACCUAGGAACUGCAUCUGAAACUGUGUGACUGGAGUGCAGUAGAGGAGUGGAAUUUCCGGUGUAGCGGUGAAAUGCGUAGAUAUCGGAAGGAACACCGGUGGCGAAGGCGGCUAUCUGGACUGACACUGACGCUGAGGCGCGAGAGCGUGGGUAGCAAACAGGAUUAGAUACCCUAGUAGUCC
RNAcentral lists this ribosomal RNA (806 nucleotides) under uncultured bacterium. RNAcentral's name for it is "bacterial SSU rRNA". It matches the Rfam family "Bacterial small subunit ribosomal RNA", at positions 8 to 796 of the family's 1533-position model. The record is from RNAcentral.